AUGGCGGUGGUGGUGGCGGGGGGUGGCGCUGGCGGUGGGGGUGGCAGGGCGCGAGGGGAGCAGCAGCCGAGGACGCAUUGGCGCGAGCAGCAGGGGCAGCGGAGCCCCGACAUGGCGGCGGUGCCCAGGCCGCCGCGCCCAAGGCCGGGACCGGCCAGGGUCGCCGUCGUGUACUACCUGUCCAGGAACGGGCAGCUCGAGCACCCGCACUUCAUGGAGGUCGCCCUCUCGUCCCCCGACGGCCUCUACCUCCGAGAUGUGAUCGAUCGGCUCGACGCACUGCGAGGCAAGGGGAUGGCGCGCAUGUACUCAUGGGCCUCCAAGAGGAGCUACCGGAACGGGUUCGUGUGGCACGACCUGGCGGAUGACGACUACGUGCACCCGGUGGGCGGGCGGGAGUACGUGCUCAAGGGCACCGAGCGGCUGCACCCGCCGGCGAUCCACCUCCCGCUGCUCGACGCGGCCGCGGCGUCGUCCUGCUCCUCCGGCUCCCAGGACACGACCACGUCCUCCUCGUCAGGCUGGGAGCACGCCCAGAGGAAGGGCGUCGCCGGCGCGUGCGGCACAGGUGAGCUCGGCGAGUACAGGGUGUACAAGGCCGAGGACCGCGCCGCGGCGGCAGCGGACGCGGCGACGCAGACCGAGGACGGGCACCGUGGGCGGAGCCGCGGUCACCAGAGGCGCGCCCAGGAGGAGCUGAGCCGCGAGGAGACGUCGCCGCCGACGGCGUCCACGAGCCCCGAGACGCUCGAGGCGCUGAUCAAGGCGGACGGCCGCGUCCUGGCGACCGUCCCCGGCGGCGGGAGCAGGGCCCGGGCGUCGUCCGUGCUGAUGCAGCUCAUCUCGUGCGGGUCCGUGUCGGUGAAGGGCGGGCUGGCCACACCGGUGAUGCCGCGCGGGGUGCACUACCGCCCACGCCCGCCGCGCCCGCCGGCGCACGCGGCCGUCGCGGCAGCCGAGACGGCCGUCUACCGGCAGAAGGUGGUCGAGGACAAGGAGUACUUCAGCGGGAGCCUGGUGGAGACGCAGUGCUCGGCCGCCGACCCGUGCCAGGACCUGGCCGUCCUCCGGCGGUCGUCUUCCUACAACGCCGACAGGGCGCAGAAGGCGGAGGAGGCGGUGGACCUGCACGACCGGUGCAUCCCGCGGAAACCCAAGAGCAAGAAGGACGGCUACCAGGUGAUCUCCUGCACCGCGCACGCCAGCGGCAAGAGGAUCGGGGCAUGA
RNAcentral lists this ribosomal RNA (1227 nucleotides) under Triticum aestivum (bread wheat). Its description in RNAcentral is "partial small subunit ribosomal RNA". Lineage: Eukaryota; Viridiplantae; Streptophyta; Magnoliopsida; Poales; Poaceae. The record is from RNAcentral.